AUAUAAUUACAAUACAUGUAUCAAGCAGCAAUAUUAUAAUGAUGAGUACUAUUACUACUACUGAGUAUAUCACACUACAUACUACCAGUUCAGUAUUAAUUGUAUCAACCGAAACACAAUCAGCAGUUGAAAGUUGUUCUUCAUGUAUUACCACAACAAUGUCACAAUCAACAGAUGUAGGAUCCAUUAGUGUUGCUAUUGCUGUACCUAUCACUGGUC
RNAcentral lists this long non-coding RNA (219 nucleotides) under Amphimedon queenslandica. RNAcentral's name for it is "uncharacterized LOC109583584". The record is from RNAcentral. Lineage: Eukaryota; Metazoa; Porifera; Demospongiae; Haplosclerida; Niphatidae.